AACGAACGCUGGCGGCAGGCCUAAUACAUGCAAGUCGGGCGAGGACUUCGGUUCUUGCGGCCGACGGGGGAGUCACGCGAGGGAAUGUUCACUUCUCUACGGCCUAGCCCUGGGAAACGGGGAGUAAUACCGAAUACGCGCUAUUGCGGAAUGAUUUAUCGGAGCAGGAGCAGCACGCGUGGGAUAAGGUAGUGGGUGGGGUAAUGGACUACCAAGCCGACGAUCCAUAGCUGGUUAGUGAGACUGGUCAGCAACACUGGGACUGAGACACGGCCCAGACUCCUACGGGAUGCAGCAGUGCGGAACCUUAGACAAUGGGGGCAAUCCUGAUGUUGUCCUGCCGCGUGAGUGAUGUAGGCCUUAGGGUUGUAAAGCGCAAUCAACUGGGCAGAUAAUGACGGUACCUGCAGAAGAAGCCCCGGCUAACUCCGUG
RNAcentral lists this ribosomal RNA (433 nucleotides) under uncultured bacterium. RNAcentral's name for it is "partial 16S ribosomal RNA". It matches the Rfam family "Bacterial small subunit ribosomal RNA", at positions 29 to 507 of the family's 1533-position model. The record is from RNAcentral.